CACGUAGGCACCAAGCGUUGUCCGGAUUUAUUGGGCGUAAAGAGCUCGUAGGCGGUUCGGUAAGUCGGGUGUGAAAACUUUGGGCUCAACCCAAAGCCUGCACCCGAUACUGCUGUGACUUGAGUCCGGUAGGGGAGUGGGGAAUUCCUGGUGUAGCGGUGGAAUGCGCAGAUAUCAGGAGGAACACCGGUGGCGAAGGCGCCGCUCUGGGCCGGUACUGACGCUGAGGAGCGAAAGCGUGGGGAGCGAACAGG
Molecule: ribosomal RNA, 254 nt
Filed under: uncultured bacterium
Lineage: Bacteria
Description: partial 16S ribosomal RNA
Rfam family: Bacterial small subunit ribosomal RNA
Source: RNAcentral